This 614-nucleotide ribosomal RNA is filed under the name Pseudochlorella pringsheimii. RNAcentral's name for it is "partial large subunit ribosomal RNA". It matches the Rfam family "Eukaryotic large subunit ribosomal RNA", at positions 21 to 633 of the family's 3401-position model. Lineage: Eukaryota; Viridiplantae; Chlorophyta; Trebouxiophyceae; Chlorellales; Chlorellaceae. The record is from RNAcentral.
UUUACCCGCUGAAAAUUAAGCAUAUCAAUAAGCGGAGGAAAAGAAACUAACCAGGAUGCCCUUAGUAACGGCGAGCGAACCGGGCGAAGCCCAACUUGAAAAUCUCCAGCCUCCGGCUGGCGAAUUGUAGUCUAGAGAAGCGCUCUCUGCCCCAGCCUGGCCCCAAGUCCCCUGGAAAGGGGCGUCAUAGAGGGUGAGAACCCCGUUGGGACCGGCGCCUGGGUCUCCACGAGACGCUUUCGAAGAGUCGGGUUGUUUGGGAAUGCAGCCCAAAGCAGGUGGUAAAUCCCAUCUAAGGCUAAAUACGGACGGGAGACCGAUAGCGAACAAGUACCGCGAGGGAAAGAUGAAAAGAACUUUGAAAAGAGAGUUAAAAAGUACUUGAAAUUGUUGAGAGGGAAGCGAUUGGAUCCCACGGGUGCGCCUAGGCACACGCCCGCCUCACGGUUGGUUGAAUGGGCUAGGCGCUGGUCAGCAUGGGUUGUCCGGGCGGGACAAAACCGGGGGUUGUUACUCCGGUUAUGCCGCCCGGGCGACCGAGGUACGAAGGGCGCUCUCCUGAGUCCUGCUGUGGAACUGCGCUCUCAAGAUGCUGGCGAAGGACGCGGAAGAUU